CCUAGAAUUCUCUUAUCUAGUGAUGAGGCAUCAUCUUCAAAAACAGAAUCAGAUGAUGUUGCUUUGCCCGUACCACCUCCACCUCCUCCGUUGCCAGAUUCUGGAAGAUUAGGCUCUGGGGAUGGCUCUGUCAUCCCUGCAUCUUUGCCUCUACCACCUCCACCUCCCCCGCCAAAGCCCCCAACGUCUGCUGGUGCAAACUUGGGUAUGUCAUUGCCUCCACCACCUUUACCACCACCACCUCCUGGUCCCCCACCCAAAGAUCUAGUUGCAGGUCAACCUCCGCUUCCUCCUUCCCAACCCCUCCAACAGUCGGUGCAGCCACCCCCACCUGGCAUGAGUGGAAGUGAAAGGGAGGGAAGUCUGUCUGCAUUGUCAGAUGACUCAAUCU
RNAcentral lists this long non-coding RNA (391 nucleotides) under Citrus sinensis (sweet orange). RNAcentral's name for it is "long non-coding RNA (CSIN_LNC001894)". Lineage: Eukaryota; Viridiplantae; Streptophyta; Magnoliopsida; Sapindales; Rutaceae. The record is from RNAcentral.